Molecule: non-coding RNA, 30 nt
Filed under: Homo sapiens (human)
Lineage: Eukaryota; Metazoa; Chordata; Mammalia; Primates; Hominidae
Source: RNAcentral
UGCUAGUUUGCCUAGUUGCUAGUUUGCCUU